Molecule: ribosomal RNA, 607 nt
Filed under: Escherichia coli
Lineage: Bacteria; Pseudomonadati; Pseudomonadota; Gammaproteobacteria; Enterobacterales; Enterobacteriaceae
Description: partial 23S ribosomal RNA
Rfam family: Bacterial large subunit ribosomal RNA
Source: RNAcentral
GGGUAGUUUGACUGGGGCGGUCUCCUCCUAAAGAGUAACGGAGGAGCACGAAGGUUGGCUAAUCCUGGUCGGACAUCAGGAGGUUAGUGCAAUGGCAUAAGCCAGCUUGACUGCGAGCGUGACGGCGCGAGCAGGUGCGAAAGCAGGUCAUAGUGAUCCGGUGGUUCUGAAUGGAAGGGCCAUCGCUCAACGGAUAAAAGGUACUCCGGGGAUAACAGGCUGAUACCGCCCAAGAGUUCAUAUCGACGGCGGUGUUUGGCACCUCGAUGUCGGCUCAUCACAUCCUGGGGCUGAAGUAGGUCCCAAGGGUAUGGCUGUUCGCCAUUUAAAGUGGUACGCGAGCUGGGUUUAGAACGUCGUGAGACAGUUCGGUCCCUAUCUGCCGUGGGCGCUGGAGAACUGAGGGGGGCUGCUCCUAGUACGAGAGGACCGGAGUGGACGCAUCACUGGUGUUCGGGUUGUCAUGCCAAUGGCACUGCCCGGUAGCUAAAUGCGGAAGAGAUAAGUGCUGAAAGCAUCUAAGCACGAAACUUGCCCCGAGAUGAGUUCUCCCUGACUCCUUGAGAGUCCUGAAGGAACGUUGAAGACGACGACGUUGAUAGGCCGG